CGAUGUCUAGGGGCUCUGAGAGGAUUGUCCCCCACACUGGUACUGAGACACGGACCAGACUCCUACGGGAGGCAGCAGUAAGGAAUAUUGGUCAAUGGACGAAAGUCUGAACCAGCCAUGCCGCGUGCAGGAUGACGGCCCUAUGGGUUGUAAACUGCUUUUAUACGGGAAGAAUCCCCUGUACGUGUACAGGGUUGACGGUACCGUACGAAUAAGGAUCGGCUAACUCCGUGCCAGCAGCCGCGGUAAUACGGAGGAUCCAAGCGUUAUCCGGAUUUAUUGGGUUUAAAGGGUGCGUAGGCGGAAUGAUAAGUUAGUGGUGAAAUCCCUCGGCUCAACCGGGGCACUGCCAUUAAAACUGUCAUUCUUGAGUAUAGUUGAAGUGGGCGGAAUGUAUCAUGUAGCGGUGAAAUGCUUAGAUAUGAUACAGAACACCGAUAGCGUAGGCAGCUUGCUAAACUAUAACUGACGCUCAGGCACGAAAGCGUGGGGAGCAAACAGGAUUAGAUACCCUGGUAGUCCACGCCGUAAACGAUGAUCACUCGCUGUUGGCGAUACACAGUCAGCGGCUUAGGGAAACCAUUAAGUGAUCCACCUGGGGAGUACGGUCGCAAGAUUGAAACUCAAAGGAAUUGACGGGGGCCCGCACAAGCGGAGGAGCAUGUGGUUUAAUUCGAUGAUACGCGAGGAACCUUACCUGGGCUUAAAUGUAAGACGACAGUCCCCGAAAGGGGACUUUCCUUCGGGACGUCCUACAAGGUGCUGCAUGGUUGUCGUCAGCUCGUGCCGUGAGGUGUCGGGUUAAGUCCCAUAACGAGCCAACCCCUAUCCUUAGUUGCCAUCAGAUAAUGCUGGGGACUCUAAGGAAACUGCCUACGCAAGUAGUGAGGAAGGUGGGGAUGACGUCAAAUCAGCACGGCCCUUAUGUCCAGGGCUACACACGUGCUACAAUGGCCGGUACAGAGGGCAGCUACCUGGUGACAGGAUGCUAAUCUCGAAAACCGGUCUCAGUUCGGAUCGAAGUCUGCAACUCGACUUCGUGAAGUCGGAUUCGCUAGUAAUCGCACAUCAGCCAUGGCGCGGUGAAUACGUUCCCGGGCCUUGUACACACCGCCCGUCAAGCCAUGGAAGCUGGGGGUACCUAAAGUCCGUAACCGCAAGGAGCGGCCUAGGGUAAAACUAGUAACUGGGGCUAAGUCGGAACAAGGUA
Molecule: ribosomal RNA, 1210 nt
Filed under: metagenome
Description: bacterial SSU rRNA
Rfam family: Bacterial small subunit ribosomal RNA
Source: RNAcentral